GAUCUGGCUCAGGAUGAACGCUAGCUACAGGCUUAACACAUGCAAGUCGAGGGGCAGCACGACGAUAGCUUGCUAUUGUUGAUGGCGACCGGCGCACGGGUGAGUAACGCGUAUCCAACCUUCCCGUUGCUAGGGGAUAACCUUGCGAAAGUAAGACUAAUACCCUAUGAAGUUCUUCGCAGGCAUCUAAAGAGAACGAAAGAUUUAUCGGCAACGGAUGGGGAUGCGUCUGAUUAGGUUG
Molecule: ribosomal RNA, 241 nt
Filed under: uncultured bacterium
Lineage: Bacteria
Description: partial 16S ribosomal RNA
Rfam family: Bacterial small subunit ribosomal RNA
Source: RNAcentral